CUAGCGGCGGACGGGUGAGUAACACGUAGGCAACCUGCCCACAAGACAGGGAUAACUACCGGAAACGGUAGCUAAUACCCGAUAUAUCCUUUUCCUGCAUGGGAGAAGGAGGAAAGACGGAGCAAUCUGUCACUUGUGGAUGGGCCUGCGGCGCAUUAGCUAGUUGGUGGGGUCAAGGCCUACCAAGGCGACGAUGCGUAGCCGACCUGAGAGGGUGAUCGGCCACACUGGGACUGAGACACGGCCCAGACUCCUACGGGAGGCAGCAGUAGGGAAUCUUCCGCAAUGGGCGAAAGCCUGACGGAGCAACGCCGCGUGAGUGAUGAAGGUUUUCGGAUCGUAAAGCUCUGUUGCCAGGGAAGAACGUCUUGUAGAGUAACUGCUACAAGAGUGACGGUACCUGAGAAGAAAGCCCCGGCUAACUACGUGCCAGCAGCCGCGGUAAUACGUAGGGGGCAAGCGUUGUCCGGAAUUAUUGGGCGUAAAGCGCGCGCAGGCGGCUCUUUAAGUCUGGUGUUUAAUCCCGAGGCUCAACUUCGGGUCGCACUGGA
RNAcentral lists this ribosomal RNA (551 nucleotides) under uncultured Paenibacillus sp. Its description in RNAcentral is "bacterial SSU rRNA". It matches the Rfam family "Bacterial small subunit ribosomal RNA", at positions 92 to 630 of the family's 1533-position model. Lineage: Bacteria; Bacillati; Bacillota; Bacilli; Caryophanales; Paenibacillaceae. The record is from RNAcentral.